GGUUGAUCCUGCCAGUAGUCAUAUGCUUGUCUCAAAGAUUAAGCCAUGCAUGUCUGAGUACAGACCGAUCUAAGGUGAAACCGCGAAUGGCUCAUUAAAUCAGUCGUAAUUUCUUGGAUAGUGAAAAACUUUCCUCGGAUAACUGUGGAAAAUCCAGAGCUAAUACGUGCAACUGAGCUCCGACCUCGGCGCGAGCCUUGGGAAGAGCGCAUUUAUUAGAUUCAAAACUGACCGGGGUACUCCUUCGGGAUACGCCGAUUGUCAAAUGUUUGAUGACUCCGGAUAACUUAGCCGAGCGCUACGGUCUUUAGUACCGGCGCCGUAUCUUUCAAGUGUCUGCCUUAUCAGCUUUCGAUUGUAGGUUAAACGCCUACAAUGGCUGUAACGGGUAACGGGGAAUCAGGGUUCGAUUCCGGAGAGGGAGCCUGAGAAACGGCUACCACAUCUAAGGAAGGCAGCAGGCACGCAAAUUACCCACUCCCAGCCCGGGGAGGUAGUGACGAAAAAUAACGAUGCGAGACUCUUCCGAGGCCUCGCAAUCGGAAUGAGUCCAUCUUAAAUCUUUGGACGAGGAUCCAUUGGAGGGCAAGUCUGGUGCCAGCAGCCGCGGUAAUUCCAGCUCCAAUAGCGUAUAUUAAAGUUGCUGCGGUUAAAAAGCUCGUAGUUGGACUUUCUAGAUCCAUUUCGUGGGUGAGUCGCUAGUCGGUCUAGUGUUUCGCGCAAGUUGUUAGAUGACGUUGCGUCGCGGCGCGCGUUUCUCUACGUUCGCUCCGUUGCGCGGCUCUGUCGGUCCUUUGAUCGGUAGUAGUCGCUUUCGGUCGCGUUACGCUAGGGGCCGCCGUCGUUUCGUUUUACGGAAUCUCUCGGACUGCGGAACGCUGCCUUCCGGUAUAGCUCGUCCGCGUUUGGUACAAUUAAAAUUUUGUCGGCUCGCUCGGAGUGCUCUUUACCGAGUGUUCCAGGGUGGCCGACACGUUCACUUUGAAAAAAUUAGAGUGCUUAAAGCGGGCUUAUACACGGCCUGAAUGUCUGUGCAUGGAAUGAAGUAACAGGACCUCGAUUCUGUUCUUUUUGUCGGUUUUAAUGAACCGAGGUAAUGAUUAAAAGGGACAGACGGUGGCAUUAGUAUUGCGACGCUAGAGGUGAAAUUCUUGGACCGUCGCAAGACUAACUACUGCGAAAGCAUUUGCCGAGAAUGUUUUCAUUAAUCAAGAACGAAAGUUAGAGGAUCGAAGGCGAUCAGAUACCGCCCUAGUUCUAACCCUAAACUAUGCUAACUAGCGAUCCGCCGAAGUCAUUCCCACGACUCGGCGGGAAGCCCCA
This 1323-nucleotide ribosomal RNA is filed under the name Macrostylis sp. ML02. RNAcentral's name for it is "SSU rRNA". It matches the Rfam family "Eukaryotic small subunit ribosomal RNA", at positions 6 to 1091 of the family's 1831-position model. Lineage: Eukaryota; Metazoa; Arthropoda; Malacostraca; Isopoda; Macrostylidae. The record is from RNAcentral.